Molecule: ribosomal RNA, 253 nt
Filed under: uncultured bacterium
Lineage: Bacteria
Description: partial 16S ribosomal RNA
Rfam family: Bacterial small subunit ribosomal RNA
Source: RNAcentral
UACGUAGGGUGCGAGCGUUGUUCGGAAUUACUGGGCGUAAAGGGCUCGUAGGCGGCCAACUAAGUCGGAUGUGAAAUCCCCAGGCUUAACCUGGGAACUGCAUCCGAUACUGGAUGGCUUGAAUCCGGGAGAGGGAUGCGGAAUUCCAGGUGUAGCGGUGAAAUGCGUAGAUAUCUGGAGGAACACCGGUGGCGAAGGCGGCAUCCUGGACCGGCAUUGACGCUGAGGAGCGAAAGCCAGGGGAGCAAACGGG